CGCUUCCCUCUUCCUUUCUCUCUCAACUGUGCGCCUCCACCAUAACCAUCAGUACUUCCCACUAGCACCUGCUGCUGCAUCUCUCCUCCCCCACGAGCAACCACACCACAAGCCAACCAAACUCCUUCCCACAUGAAGUCGCCAGCAGCAAGCUGCGUUUUCACCCCCUGCAGCCAACAGACAGAGGUUGGGACAACCAGUUUUUGCCCUCUCUGUAACACCCCGUCAUUUUUAUGACGUCAUUAAUUAUUAUUAUUAUUAUUAUUAUUAUCACUUUUGGAGAUUUUAUAAAUAUAUUAAGUUAUUUUGAGUUAGUAUCAAUAAAUUUCAUUCACAUAAGAAUAUUAACAUAUUUAGAUUAAAAAUAGAUUUGCGACAACUAAACUAAAGAGGUUCGAAUUAAAAUUAUUAUUUUGUUAAAAUUUGUGAGCACACGAUGAUCCAUCGCAAGGAGACGAAUCUAGAUAAAUAAAUAAAUAAAUGAAUAAACAAAACAAAAAGGAUGGGUUAGGGUUUUAAGUGAGAUAACCCUUCCCUCACCUUGCAUAAAAACCACGGCUGCCAUUCCUCUUUUCCCUCCCUUCCCCACGACUCUCCCCUCUUUCCUCAACAACCUUGCUCCUUUCCCCUUCACCAGCAGCUGCCUCCUCCCCCACGAGCAGCAACCGACAAUUUCCCGUCCUCCACAAGCAACAGGCGGCUGCAACCAGCGUGCUCCUCCGUGCUAGCAACAGCCAUGGCUGCGUUUUUCCCCCCGACAGCUGCAAGCUGCUGUGACACCAAAUAUAGCACCACCACACAGCUUUUCUCCACCAUCACACACGGUGGGUCGCAUCACCACCACAAGAACCGCCAACCCCUUGACCCAUUUCCUAGUUCCACCCAUUGUUCCCAGUUCAUUAGAGGAAAGUAGAACCUUAGUUGGGUGAUUUUUGUAACUUUUGGUCGUGCAGUGACGCUUGCAGGUACUUAAGAUUGAGGGAAGUGGUAGAGGGAGAGGCAAGCAUAAGCGACUUUAGACAUAUGAAGAAUGGUUAUAUGAAUAGAUUAGAAGAUUUGAUAACCAAUGAGCUUCCUAAUUGUAGUUUGAAGGCUUUUCUACACAUUGAGUCUAGAAUCAAACAUUGGUCAGAGAAGCUUUGAAAAUGUAAUUAUGAGUUAGGGUUUAAAGUAUGAAUGAAAAUCUUGGUAGUUGUACUACUUUUGUCUUUUGAGGGUGUUUUAUAAUUUCAUAGAUUUGUAGAAGCUUUGAAAAGAUGAUUUUAUUGUGAAUAGGUAAUAAUAGUUGUUAUAAUUAAGAGUGUUAGUUACAAAAAGUAGUGUUAACUGUCACUUAUAUUAUAAGGAUGAAGGUGGAUGUUGUUUAUAUUACUGAGUAUUAUUGUUAGUUAGUUGCGGUGUGGUUGUAGUUAUUAGAGUUGAAUACUAUUAUUGUUAAAGUAGGUAGAAACCAUUGUUGUCCAUAUUGUCGCAAAUUAUUAGAGGAAGUGUUUCUUUUCAUGCCCUUUGCCAUCAUGAGUAAUUUUGUAUGUUGUAAUAGAUCAUACUACAACUUGAGGUUAUCACUAACAUCAACAUUGUUAAAAGUUAUUAGUAUUAAUGUUGUUGUACAAGUGUUAUUAGUUGUGACAUUUCAUGGUGAUGUGGUCUUAUAACUCAAGUCUCAUAGGUUUAAAGAAAUAAUCAUAAAGUACACUUUGUUGUUACGAAAGCUUAUUUAAUCGUUGGUUUAGUGGAUGUGAAAGCUUCUUUGAUUGUUGAAUUAAUGUAGUAACUUAUGAGCAAGUAUAGAUUGAAUAUGUGAAUUAGUUUAGUAUGCAUUAGAAUAAUUGAAAGUUACUUUGAAUGGGUGAAUGAUAGCUUGUUUAAGCGUCUAGAUGUUUUUAGACAGAGACAAAUACGCUUAUUAGUUCUUCUCCUAAUUUAUAUAGGUGCCUGUUUCAUAAAAGGAAGGUAGAAUUUUAGUUGGGUGAUUUUUUUUGUGAUGUUUGAUCGUGCAGUGACGUUUACAUGUACGUAUACACAGUAACUAACCCUUAUAUGCAAUUUUCCUUUAAGACAUUAUUGUUUAUUGUGAUAAUAUGCAUUGUAUCAAAACGAUGAGGUACUAGUGAGUAAACUUUAUAUGAGGAGCUAUCGAUUAUGACAUCCUUGAGUUCAGAAUAGUUUAGAGAAAUAAGAGUGUUAGUAGAAGGUGGGGACCAUCCCCUUAUUUAUUUGAGAAUUGGAUUAUGUCUUACUUAGAGUUAGAAUGACUUCUUUAUAGGUGAAUUUCGUAUUUUGUUUGAGUUGUUCUGUGGGUUUUGGCGUUCUGGUAUCCCAGGGCAUUCAUCAAUAGUAGAAAGUGAGAGUUAUUCUCAUUUGAUAAAGCAUUAGAUUACGAUUAGUUGGCGUGACUCAACUGGGUUAUGUCCGGUUGAUUUAAUAGUGCCCUAGGUGAGAUCCGACAGGAUCACUGUAUAGGGGGUAUGAGCAUACUUUAAUUGUAACCGCCUCGAAGUAUGAAGGCAAACACUAAUUGGAAUUUAGUAUUAAUCAAGUCGAAGCUUACUUUUGCCAACACAAUUAAGGGGUUACUUAAAGAUCAAACCAAUAUCCAAGUAAAAUACUUGAACCAAACCAAAGCAAUAUAACGGAAGUCUUAACUGUUCAAAAUAUAGGAAAAUUACAACCAAAUCGAAAUAAGUCCAAAGUUCAAAUUACAUCCUUAACAUAAUCUAAAUCUAAACAACUAAACUAAUAGUCUCUCAAAUACAAUAAAGAGAUCUAAACAAAAAGGGGAGUCAUACUCCAACUCGGGUUCAUCUUCCGCUCGCAUAUCCAUUCUCCGUCGAGGUGCCAUAGGGGUUUACUCUAAAAACAAAACCAUUCAAAAACAUACAAAGCAUAGUAUCAGCAA
Molecule: long non-coding RNA, 2899 nt
Organism: Amaranthus tricolor (Joseph's coat)
Lineage: Eukaryota; Viridiplantae; Streptophyta; Magnoliopsida; Caryophyllales; Amaranthaceae
Exons: 3
Source: RefSeq, a predicted model, not a curated record